UUCUUGCCAGUACCAAGGGUGGCUGGCUCUCAGCUGGCUCCUGUCUGACUUGUCCCCUGCUGAAAAGCAUGAAACAUCAUCACACUUCACAAGAGUUUAUCUUCAUGUCUUGAGUUUCCAAAAUUUGCAACCACAUUGACGUAGAUCUACAAGUGACAAAAGCACUGUGUUGCCAGGUCUGCUGAAGAACAGUGAGAAGGUUACAUUUUCCUCUGAAUUCAGCAGAGGUCUCCAAACAGCACUUGUCCUUCAGUUAUCUGAAGUCAAAAUGCAAAAGCAGACACCUCUCAUGAAAAGUUUGUCUUUGACCAAGAAGAGAAUAAUUUUCAGUGAAAAUUUGCUUAGAUGAAAAAUGUACAGCCAGCUCUGAUGCAAAGCACCUUAUGUAUCAGCUGUCCUUGAAAAUUUUCUUCCUGCCUGGCUCUCCCUUCUGUUUGAAAAGCAGAGAUUUCCCCAUGAAACUUCCUCUACAGUAAUAGCACAAGAAAGGCUGGUUUUCCUUAUCUCAGGAAAACAAGAGCUUGUUCAGAAGGUCCAACUAAGGCACUUCCCAACAGAGCUGUGCAAAAAGGCUGUGAAAAGCUGCAAUGGAAACACGUGCCUCUGAAGAUCAAACUCACCCUUCAGGAAGGCUGUUACCAACUUCUGGGAGUGCAGGGGAAUAUGCCUUUCCCUAAAUUUAAUUACAGAGGUAGGAGAGGUAGUGUGGAGUUGUGUCUGGUAUCUAUAUUUAUUCUAGUCUGAAACAAUGCUUCUAAAAUCAUGUGCCAGUACGCUUAAAAUGGUGGAAGACUGUCAUGGUUUAAACUUUUUCAUACUAGAGAUAUGAAUGCUAGUCCUAGGUACGUGACACUAGACCCCAUCUACAAUGCCACCGAAAACGUUUUUUUCUGUCAAGAAAUGGUAUACUUUAAU
Molecule: long non-coding RNA, 915 nt
Organism: Neopsephotus bourkii (Bourke's parrot)
Lineage: Eukaryota; Metazoa; Chordata; Aves; Psittaciformes; Psittacidae
Exons: 5
Source: RefSeq, a predicted model, not a curated record